Molecule: ribosomal RNA, 997 nt
Filed under: human gut metagenome
Description: bacterial LSU rRNA
Rfam family: Bacterial large subunit ribosomal RNA
Source: RNAcentral
CCGUAACUAUAACGGUCCUAAGGUAGCGAAAUUCCUUGUCGGGUAAGUUCCGACCUGCACGAAUGGCGUAAUGAUGGCCAGGCUGUCUCCACCCGAGACUCAGUGAAAUUGAACUCGCUGUGAAGAUGCAGUGUACCCGCGGCAAGACGGAAAGACCCCGUGAACCUUUACUAUAGCUUGACACUGAACACUGGUCCUUGAUGUGUAGGAUAGGUGGGAGGCUUUGAAGCGUGGACGCCAGUCUGCGUGGAGCCAACCUUGAAAUACCACCCUUUAAUGGCUGGUGUUCUAACGUAGACCCGUAAUCCGGGUUGCGGACAGUGUCUGGUGGGUAGUUUGACUGGGGCGGUCUCCUCCCAAAGAGUAACGGAGGAGCACGAAGGUUGGCUAAUCCUGGUCGGACAUCAGGAGGUUAGUGCAAUGGCAUAAGCCAGCUUGACUGCGAGCGUGACGGCGCGAGCAGGUGCGAAAGCAGGUCAUAGUGAUCCGGUGGUUCUGAAUGGAAGGGCCAUCGCUCAACGGAUAAAAGGUACUCCGGGGAUAACAGGCUGAUACCGCCCAAGAGUUCAUAUCGACGGCGGUGUUUGGCACCUCGAUGUCGGCUCAUCACAUCCUGGGGCUGAAGUAGGUCCCAAGGGUAUGGCUGUUCGCCAUUUAAAGUGGUACGCGAGCUGGGUUUAGAACGUCGUGAGACAGUUCGGUCCCUAUCUGCCGUGGGCGCUGGAGAAUUGAGGGGGGCUGCUCCUAGUACGAGAGGACCGGAGUGGACGCAUCACUGGUGUUCGGGUUGUCAUGCCAAUGGCACUGCCCGGUAGCUAAAUGCGGAAGAGAUAAGUGCUGAAAGCAUCUAAGCACGAAACUUGCCCCGAGAUGAGUUCUCCCUGAGACUUUAAGUCUCCUGAAGGAACGUUAAAGACUAUGACGUUGAUAGGUCGGGUGUGUAAGCGCAGCGAUGCGUUGAGCUAACCGAUACUAAUGAACCGUGAGGCUUAACCUU